This 937-nucleotide ribosomal RNA is filed under the name Triticum aestivum (bread wheat). RNAcentral's name for it is "partial small subunit ribosomal RNA". Lineage: Eukaryota; Viridiplantae; Streptophyta; Magnoliopsida; Poales; Poaceae. The record is from RNAcentral.
AAAAAAAUUAAGUUGAUCAGUAGAAGGGGUCGAGAGAAGGAGAGAGAGUGAGAGCCAUACGAGUCGGUGCUUGUCUUGGUUGAGGUAGAGAGAGAGGGAUUGAUGUCUCGUCCGGCGGCGGCCGAGCUAGACGGUGAAGGCCGGUAGAGGCCACUGUGGCGCCUGUGGGUGUCUUAGGGGAGCUGAGGGAGAUGGUAUAGGGGGGUAAAUAAACUAGGUGGCGGCGGAUUUAGCAGCGGUGGUAGAUUGGGGUCGCGGCGGACGGAGCCCAGGCCACCCAAGCGGUGGCGGGCGCCGCCGUUGCUGUAGAUGGACGGAUACGGGAGGUGGUCACGUCGGUGUGCGUGCUCCGCACGUUGGUGCCGGCAGCCCGCGCUCGCCGAAGUGACCGCGUCGAAGCCGUUGUACGGCGAUAGCCACAAACUGAGGAAGUAGAUGACGAUGGUGAGUUCCAUUGAUCUCAGGUCUUCUAGUCCACAAGUACAAGAUUCGUUUCCAUUUCUACCUAGUUCCACGGUUCGUAGUUCGUUUGUCUCGACGUUUUCGUUCCAUGAACUUAUCAUGGACUAGCGUUGAGUCGUAAGCUGGUUUUCUCACCUACCCCUACCACCCUUCUCGAGCCAAGAGAGAGAACACGCACAACACACGUCAUCUCCUUCACUUUCCACUUUCCACGUCCGACGAUAAAUAUCAUCACCUCCUACGAUACAGCCAAACCAUUUUACUUCGUCCACCGACCGUACGUACCAACGUACGCGUACGUUCCGAGGUGAACAUUAGUACACUCGCCAUGUUACCUGUUCACACAUCACGAACUAACCUGUAAUCAACCGUAAUGAAACACACAUUCCUUACUCUGUUCCGGGGUCAACAUUUAGACGUUUGAUAUUCCCUCAACCUCUUCUUGGCAACAUGUACCGAUUUAUGAUUGAAAAAA